UUUACAUUUACGGACAUAAUAACAUUUAUUAACGAGUAUUUAUUAAUAAGUGCACAUAUAAAGCGCUUCUUUAUAAUUUACAACAUUUACGCGAGUCUUCUAUAUUUGGUUCUGCAGUGUAACAUGUAAAACUUAUUGUCUUUAUUAAUGAUUGAGGAAAGAAGAUAUUUAAUGCAAAUAUUUUCAAAUAUAAAAGUCAACGAUAUGUGCUUGCUUUAAAAAAUUAAGCUGAAGCAAAGCUGCCUACAAUCAACGGCGAAGCAAUAGCAGCAUAUUUUUUAUCGGUAUACCCGGGAACGCACAAAAAUCACCGGAACAUUCGAACGAUUUUCACUCAUCCUAGAAUUUAUUAAACUAUGAUAGAUAGCGCAACCUUUUCGCACAAAAAUCACCGGAACAUUCGAACGAUUUUCACUCAUCCUAGAAUUUAUUAAACUAUGAUAGGUAGCGCAACCUUUUCGCCGCCGAUACUAGACAUCACGUACCUAAAUACAUGUUAUGUACAAUAAAAAUCGCUCAUUUCCAGCGAAAUACCUUCAAAAAUGCGAAAGUUUUGGCCAUAUUUUUAACGUCAUGUAAGGAAAAGAGAAUUGCGUUAUUUUUAUAUCAGUAUAUUUCUAUCACUAAAUAU
Long non-coding RNA from Dinoponera quadriceps, 631 nucleotides. RefSeq lists it as uncharacterized. Lineage: Eukaryota; Metazoa; Arthropoda; Insecta; Hymenoptera; Formicidae. The record is from RefSeq and is a predicted model, not a curated record. The transcript has 2 exons.